UGGGGGAUAUUGCACAAUGGGGGGAACCCGUGAUGCAGCGACGCCGCGUGGGCGAGGGAGCGCCUCGGCGCAUAAAGCCCUUUCGGCGGGGGGAGAACGAUGACGGUACCCGACGAAGAAGCACCGGCUAAAUACGUGCC
Molecule: ribosomal RNA, 140 nt
Filed under: uncultured bacterium
Lineage: Bacteria
Description: partial 16S ribosomal RNA
Rfam family: Bacterial small subunit ribosomal RNA
Source: RNAcentral